CCUACGGGAGGCAGCAGUGAGGAAUAUUGGACAAUGGGCGCAAGCCUGAUCCAGCCAUGCCGCGUGCAGGAAGACGGUCCUAUGGAUUGUAAACUGCUUUUAUACAGGAAGAAACACCUCUACGUGUAGAGACUUGACGGUACUGUAUGAAUAAGCAUCGGCUAACUCCGUGCCAGCAGCCGCGGUAAUACGGAGGAUGCAAGCGUUAUCCGGAAUCAUUGGGUUUAAAGGGUCCGUAGGCGGUUUAAUAAGUCAGUGGUGAAAGCCCAUCGCUCAACGAUGGAACGGCCAUUGAUACUGUUAAACUUGAAUUAUUAGGAAGUAACUAGAAUAUGUAGUGUAGCGGUGAAAUGCUUAGAGAUUACAUGGAAUACCAAUUGCGAAGGCAGGUUACUACUAAUAUAUUGACGCUGAUGGACGAAAGCGUGGGGAGCGAACAGGAUUAGAUACCCUGGUAGUCCACGCCGUAAACGAUGGAUACUAGCUGUUCGGAGCAAUCUGAGUGGCUAAGCGAAAGUGAUAAGAUCCACCUGGGGAGUACGUUCGCAAGAAUUGAAACUUCAAAGGAAUUGACGGCUUGAGACNGCGAGAGACGACGAGGAGGAGG
Molecule: ribosomal RNA, 607 nt
Filed under: uncultured bacterium
Lineage: Bacteria
Description: bacterial SSU rRNA
Rfam family: Bacterial small subunit ribosomal RNA
Source: RNAcentral